UACGGGGGGGGCAAGCGUUGUUCGGAAUUACUGGGCGUAAAGGGCUCGUAGGCGGCCAACUAAGUCGGACGUGAAAUCCCUCGGCUUAACCGGGGAACUGCAUCCGAUACUGGAAGGCUCGAGUUUGGGAGAGGGAUGCGGAAUUCCAGGUGUAGCGGUGAAAUGCGUAGAUAUCUGGAGGAACACCGGUGGCGAAGGCGGCAUCCUGGACCAACACUGACGCUGAGGAGCGAAAGCCAGGGGAGCGAACAGG
Molecule: ribosomal RNA, 253 nt
Filed under: uncultured bacterium
Lineage: Bacteria
Description: partial 16S ribosomal RNA
Rfam family: Bacterial small subunit ribosomal RNA
Source: RNAcentral